Molecule: transfer RNA, 63 nt
Filed under: Obama sp. MAP-2014
Lineage: Eukaryota; Metazoa; Platyhelminthes; Tricladida; Geoplanidae
Description: tRNA-Cys
Source: RNAcentral
UAUUUUUUAGUAUAAAAAUUAUAAAUAAUUGCAGAUUAUUAGAUAAGAAUUUCUUAAAAAUAU